UACGUAGGUGACAAGCGUUGUUCGGAAUUACUGGGCGUAAAGGGCGCGUAGGCGGUUUGCUAAGUUGAAUGUGAAAACUCUGGGCUUAACCCAGAGCCUGCAUUCAAUACUGGCAGGCUAGAGUUCUGGAGGGGAUAGCGGAAUUCCUGGUGUAGCGGUGAAAUGCGUAGAUAUCAGGAGGAACACCGGUGGCGAAGGCGGCUAUCUGGACAGAGUCUGACGCUGAGGCGCGAAAGCUAGGGGAGCAAACAGG
Molecule: ribosomal RNA, 253 nt
Filed under: uncultured bacterium
Lineage: Bacteria
Description: partial 16S ribosomal RNA
Rfam family: Bacterial small subunit ribosomal RNA
Source: RNAcentral